RNAcentral lists this unclassified non-coding RNA (391 nucleotides) under soil metagenome. RNAcentral describes it as "partial contains 5.8S ribosomal RNA, internal transcribed spacer 2, and large subunit ribosomal RNA". The stretch from base 1 to 122 matches the Rfam family "5.8S ribosomal RNA", at positions 35 to 154 of the family's 154-position model. The record is from RNAcentral.
GAUGAAGAACGUAGCGAAAUGCGAUACUUGGUGUGAAUUGCAGAAUCCCGUGAACCAUCGAGUCUUUGAACGCAAGUUGCGCCCGAAGCCAUUAGGCCGAGGGCACGCCUGCCUGGGCGUCACACGUCGUUGCCCCCCCAUCUACUCCUUCGGGAUUGCGGGGGGCGGAUGAUGGCCUCCCGUGCGCCUCGCCGCGCGGUUGGCAUAAAUGCCAAGUCCUCGGCGACGCACGCCACGACAAUCGGUGGUUGCGAAACCUCGGUUGCCCGUCGGGUGCGGUCGUCGCGCAUCGAGGGCUCGAAAAAAUUGCCGGGUUCCGGCUCGGCUUUCAACGCGACCCCAGGUCAGGCGGGGUUACCCGCUGAAUUUAAGCAUAUCAAUAAGCGGAGGA